RNAcentral lists this ribosomal RNA (229 nucleotides) under uncultured bacterium. Its description in RNAcentral is "partial 16S ribosomal RNA". It matches the Rfam family "Bacterial small subunit ribosomal RNA", at positions 118 to 348 of the family's 1533-position model. The record is from RNAcentral.
UGAGCAAUCUGCCCUUCUCAUCGGAAUAAGCGUUGGAAACGACGUCUAAUGCCGAAUACGACCUCCUUUCGCAUGAUCGGAGGUGGAAAGCUCCGGCGGAGAAAGAUGAGCUCGCAGCCUAUCAGCUAGUUGGUGUGGGUAAUGGCCCACCAAGGCGACGACGGGUAGCCGGCCUGAGAGGGUGACCGGCCACACUGGGACUGAGACACGGCCCAGACUCCGUAGGAGG